GAGGGUAGUUUAGUAUCGUGUCGUUCAAAAGAUGACAUGGCUGGUGACGAGCCGCUACCUUCCUUAUCCGUAAACCAACUUUGGAAUUGCAAUGUCCAAAACAUUAAAAUUAACAAAGGAGAAGUGCUCGUCAGUUGUGUGUGACAGGUCACUACAUAGUCGUGAGAUGUUCACGGCCGUGAAGGGUCCCAAGCCCGACAUGAGUUUCGAGAAAGUUCUCUAAUCCCGCAAGGAUAAAUUGGUGGGGCACCAUCGAAGAGUGAUAAGUACCGAGAGAGUUGCAGACAACUUAAGGAUUGGUUAAUCUAAUUGACCGUGACUGAGGGUUACCGUUCAAAAGACGGUGGAAACGAAGGGAAUCAAAUAAUCCUUCCAAAGAUCCUCACAAAAUGGUGUAUUCUCAACCU
Molecule: non-coding RNA, 407 nt
Filed under: unclassified sequences
Description: Giant, ornate, lake- and Lactobacillales-derived (GOLLD) RNA
Rfam family: Giant, ornate, lake- and Lactobacillales-derived (GOLLD) RNA
Source: Rfam by way of RNAcentral